This 498-nucleotide ribosomal RNA is filed under the name uncultured bacterium. RNAcentral's name for it is "partial 16S ribosomal RNA". It matches the Rfam family "Bacterial small subunit ribosomal RNA", at positions 28 to 507 of the family's 1533-position model. The record is from RNAcentral.
GACGAACGCUGGCGGCAUGCCUAAUACAUGCAAGUUGAACGAUGAUAUUCUCUGCUUGCAGAGAAUUGAAGAGUAGCGAACGGGUGAGUAACACGUGGGGAACCUGCCCAUGAGAGGGGGAUAACAUUCGGAAACGGAUGCUAAUACCGCAUCAUGCUUUGGACCGCCUGGUCCAGAGACGAAAGACGGCUUUUGCUGUCACUCAUGGAUGGCCCCGCGCCGUAUUAGCUAGUUGGUGAGGUAAUGGCUCACCAAAGCUGUGAUACGUAGUCGACCUGAGAGGAUGAUCAGCCACACUGGGACUGAGACACGGCCCAGACUCCUACGGGAGGCAGCAGUAGGGAAUCUUCCACAAUGGGCGAAAGCCUGAUGGAGCAAUGCCGCGUGAAUGAAGAAGGUCUUCGGAUCGUAAAGUUCUGUUAUUAGAGAAGAACAAGUCAAGGAGUAACUGUCUUGACUUUGACGGUACCUAACCAGAAAGUCACGGCUAACUACGUG